Molecule: ribosomal RNA, 473 nt
Filed under: uncultured bacterium
Lineage: Bacteria
Description: bacterial SSU rRNA
Rfam family: Bacterial small subunit ribosomal RNA
Source: RNAcentral
GACGAACGCUGGCGGCGUGCCUAACACAUGCAAGUCGAGCGGAAAUAUUCUGAAGAGUAAUCGGAAGGAUAUUUUAGCGGCGGACGGGUGAGUAACACGUGGGCAACCUGCCCUGUACAGGGGGAUAACACUGGGAAACUAGUGCUAAUACCGCAUGAUACGCGAAGAUGGCAUCAUUUUUGCGUCAAAGGAGAAAUCCGGUACAGGAUGGGCCCGCGUCCGAUUAGCUAGUUGGUGAGGUAAUGGCUCACCAAGGCGACGAUCGGUAGCCGGAUUGAGAGGUUGAACGGUCACAUUGGGACUGAGACACGGCCCAGACUCCUACGGGAGGCAGCAGUGGGGAAUAUUGCACAAUGGGGGAAACCCUGAUGCAGCGACGCCGCGUGAAGGAAGAAGGUCUUCGGAUUGUAAACUUCUUUGAUUGGGGACGAAAUAUGACGGUACCCAAGGAACAAGCCACGGCUAACUACGUG